Molecule: long non-coding RNA, 735 nt
Organism: Osmia lignaria (orchard mason bee)
Lineage: Eukaryota; Metazoa; Arthropoda; Insecta; Hymenoptera; Megachilidae
Source: RefSeq, a predicted model, not a curated record
CACCAUUGCCCUCCGGUCGCUGGACGACCCUCCUCACGGAUGGUCAUGUAACCAUCCGGACAGCCCUCCGACGUGAACGAUGUGAAUCGUCCGACGGUGAACGUGUCGAAUGUUAGCUGUAAUUUCAAACAAACGGCAAAAGAGUAAUCACAGUUUCGAAACUGAUAUCAUUGCAUUCCACGCACAGAGAAGCGAGCAUUAAAGAAACAUAUCAAAAGGACAAACACUGAACUAAACAAACUUACAAAAAGAAUUUCGAGAGACAAUCUAUUUUCGCUAAAACACCACACGUGCACGUCUCCUAGAUCAGAACCGGCGGCGGUGAAGUUCAGAUGGCACAAGAACGGCAGUCGAUCCUCCCUUGGCCGACGUACUUCCACUCUGUAGGUCCGGCCAACGUCACCGUACAAGGUUCUAUUGCACGCUGAAAAGCCACGCGGAAGGCGUACGAUCAAACUUUCUCAUAUCAAGUGAAAGAAGAAGGGUUGAACGAAAAACUCACGGCUACAGUAUCUCGGCUCGUCGGACUUGUCGCCGCAGUCAUCUUCGCCAUCGCAGUACUUGUCCUGAGCGACGCAGUUCCCGGUGCCGCACAGGUACUCGGACGGCCUGCACGGGCACAUUCUCCAGGCUGGUCGUCGGCGUGGUGGUCACACUCGACGAGGACUCGGACGACGUCAGGCUCGGAUAGACCGGGUAACCAGGAUAUCCGGAAUAGUCGGAGGAUAUUCCAGG